This 586-nucleotide long non-coding RNA is filed under the name Salmo salar (Atlantic salmon). RNAcentral describes it as "lncRNA (ENSSSAG00000110796.1)". The record is from RNAcentral. Lineage: Eukaryota; Metazoa; Chordata; Actinopteri; Salmoniformes; Salmonidae.
ACGAAACAGGGAGGGACCUACCUGAAUUUGUCCAAUAGAAACCCUCGUUUUUUUUUUUUGCUCAGUUUGGUUCUUAAACGGUACAACGGUACACGUAACGAAUACGCCCCGGUCACCGUUAUUUAUCAUUUGACAGUCGGUUCCCGAUCUUCUUGUUGGUGAAACUGACCUGAGUAAAGAUGAACCGAGCAGGCCAACCGUUGUUCAUGAAGACCUACGGCAAACAGAAACGGAAGUUGGAGGCCUGGAUCUCCCCUGACAACCGAAAACAGGAAGUCAUUGUUGAGGCGUACUGGUAGAAAGGCCCAGCGUAUCGUGAGCACCAGUGAGAGUGAUGAAGAGUCAACGACCACCAGCCAACCCAACCCUAAACGCUCCACAGCUAGAGACAAGACACACACACAUCCGACUCCAGGGAAGUUUGUGACGCAUCGUAGGGGAGCAACAACCGCCAAACACAAAGCCCCCAAGAGGAAACUCAGAGUCCUGCUGGCCCAGCUCAGCUCAAACUCCUCUGAUGACUUCGUCCAUGAUGGAAGAGAAGAAGGGGGAGUGGUCCAGCGUGCCUUCCCUUGCCGUGCCAAAC